AGCCAUAACAAGGUUUACACCUCCCCAAACCCAAUGUGAACGUUACCAAACUGUUGCCUCGGCGGGGUCACGCCCCGGGUGCAUCGCAGGCGCCCGCCGGAGGAACCAACCAAACUCUUUCUGUAGACCCUUACAACUUUGAGCAAAAAUUCAAAAUGAACCAAAACUUUCAACGACGGAUCUCUUGAUUUUG
Molecule: unclassified non-coding RNA, 193 nt
Filed under: Trichoderma pubescens
Lineage: Eukaryota; Fungi; Ascomycota; Sordariomycetes; Hypocreales; Hypocreaceae
Also listed under: 1 other name
Description: partial internal transcribed spacer region
Source: RNAcentral